RNAcentral lists this long non-coding RNA (2031 nucleotides) under Nasonia vitripennis (jewel wasp). Its description in RNAcentral is "uncharacterized LOC107980942". Lineage: Eukaryota; Metazoa; Arthropoda; Insecta; Hymenoptera; Pteromalidae. The record is from RNAcentral.
GGGGGGGCGAGCGCGCGCACGUGUUUGCAUCUGCUGCCGAUUUGCAGGCCAUUCUCACAGCGUGUCAGGCCGACUCGAAACAACUUCGACGACCGAAUACACGCAUGACUGUCACUGAUAAGGACGAAAACACUGACACCUCAAGCAACGGACAGGAGUCGGACCUGGCAAGCAAAUCGGAUGCACCUUUGCCAGCAUCGUCGCCAUCAUUGUCGACUGUAUCAUCUGCAUUAACAUCCAUACAGUCGUCAUCAUCCGCGCCCUCUACUUGACUGGCGAGGCCCCUUCACAAUGCGCCGGGUGCUUGGAGUGGCUUGAGGGCGGGCUUUCUCAAUGUGAACUCGCUCAGGGCUCGCAUUGGGAUCGUUCGCGAUUUUCUAGCAGAGCGCCCCUCAUAUGAUAUCUUUGGUUUCGCGGAGACAUGGCUGGGUCAGAUUGUGGAUGACAGCCUGGUUAACAUCGGGGGAUAUUCCAUCAUUAGGCAGGACCGAAAUUUAAACGGGGGUGGCGUCGCCUUAUUUGUACGCAGUGGUUUAAAAAUUAAAAAACUUGUUUCUUCCGACACUAUGGGUCUAGGAAAACCUGGAAUCCCAGAGUAUCUUUUUUGCAGCGUACAAAGGGGCGACUCACCUCCGGUGCUUCUCGGCGUCAUUUACAGGCCCCCGAAAAUUCCGAUGCAAAAGGACUCAGACCUGUUUGACUUAUGCGGCGAAUUUAGUCAUAAGAUCAUAAUGGGUGAUCUGAACUCAGACCUACUGUCUGACUCAGACGACGCUGCUACUAUGAAGCGUCUGUCUGAAGAGUUAUCUCUUCAGAUCAUCCGGCAUGGUCCCACGCAUCAUCAUACCUCAUCAGUGUGCCCAGGUGUGGCGAUUUAUCGCCAAUUUGGCGAUUUUUGGUAAGUGCUGGCGAUUUUUUUAUCUUGACUGGCGACUGGCGAUUAAGUGGCGAUUCGCUUACUUGCCCAGCGAUUUUUUUGGCGAUUUACGAAACUUUCCAUAAAUAUAAGUUUUUUUUUAAAUAAAAAAUUUGAACUUCGCGCUCAAUUCCAACCGUUCUAAAUAAACGACAACGCGAACAUAGCUGUUCUGCCUCUCUCUCUCUCUCUCUCUCUCUCUCUCUCUCUCUUUCUGCACUAACUUCAAGCAGUAACGCAGCUAUUUCGGUUGUCUUACCGCGUAUGAAACUCUGAAGUAUUGUACCUCACUUAGGACCACCAGUAGGUAACAUGCUAGCCUAUGAAAUACACGUAUAUGCCAUAACGCCACGGGACAAAAAGCUUGACUACUUUUUCCGCGAACUUUUGACUCUUCCCAAAUAUUCGAUCUUUCGUCAUCGCCACUCGAUUCCUGUUAGCAGCAGUGCACUGUGUUCUGUGUUCACCAUUUCACUUUUAACAAAUUCAUCAUUCAUUACAUUGCAAUAACAAAUAAGAAUUAUUAUAACCUUGAAAAUAACAUCAUACAGGAUAUACAAGCAUAAUAGUAAUAGAUUAUCAAAUGAAUACUAUCGUUUUAAUAACCGAGGGUCUACACUAUUUAGAUGAAGAAGAAUGUUUAUUAAUACGCUUGAAAGAUAGAUUAGUAUUCGAAAGCAUCUCGGAUCAAGAGAAGAGUUCAAGAUCGUUUAAAGUAAACGAGUUGCGUGAUAUUGAAUUUAUUGUAAAAGCCAGCAAAACACCAUUAGAUAACCUAGUAAUUUGGUGCAAAAACAGGUUAAGUCAAAAGGAUAAAACAGAGGAGCUAGAGUUAAAGUUACGCCAAACUCUCAUUAAAUUAAUAAAUAACUUAUCACUAAUUGAAAACCUACUACAAAUUAUAUUUGAUCGUACGUUGGACCUGGAUACCUCUGAUCUAAGUAUAGCAGAUACAGUGCUUAUUUCUAACAGCGAUACGGAUAGCGAUUAAGAAAAUUUUGAAUUUAGUACAUUAAUAAAAAUGAAUAAAAGCACUAAAGAGAAGAAGAAAAGCAUUUACAACUAUAAUGUGAAUUGGGAAAAGGAAUCCUGGGCCCAGGGUAAGUUGCUUAUCU